Molecule: long non-coding RNA, 1346 nt
Organism: Camellia sinensis
Lineage: Eukaryota; Viridiplantae; Streptophyta; Magnoliopsida; Ericales; Theaceae
Source: RefSeq, a predicted model, not a curated record
UUCUAUAUAGUUUCUACUAGUGCUUACAUUACACCUGAGCCUAGUGGUGAGUUGGUUUAAUGGUAUUUCUGAAAUCUAUUAUUUGAAAUUCAAGUUUCUGGUCAGAAAUUACAAAAAUCUAGGAAAAGAACAUAUAUAUGCCAUAGACUGGUUUUAGUAUCAACAAAAUAGUGAUUUUUGUACGUAAUAAGGGAUAGUCAUCUGUGAUGGUUUUCUUAGAUGCAGCAACGACCAAUGAAAGCAACUGUAGAGAAUACCUUUCAGGGGAAAAAGAAAAAAAAAAUGGAAGCACGGCUAAAGGGUGAUUCGAUAUAAUGAAGAUGGUGCAAGAACAAGAGAAAAGCCAGAAAGAAUGUGAUAUAAAGUAUAAUGCACUGUAGCAUAUGGGCCUGGCCCCUGGGUGUGGUGUGAUGAAAAAAAUAGGACUUGCACCAGAGUAUUCGGAUAGUAAGCUCUGUUGAGUUGAUUCUAGGAAAACUAAAUAAGACAACAGCCGUUUUCAAAAUUGUCGAAUGCUGUGCAGCUAUGUAACAUACAUUGAUGUCUCAUGUAUGAUGGAUGAGUGGCAGGAGGAGAAGGUAUGUACAAAAUGACUGCAUUUGGAGAAGUUGGAACAUAAAUAAUGUCAACUAGGAACAAGAUGAAGGUCAGCUGAAAGGGUUUGGUAGUGCAACAGAGGCACUCAUAAUUAGAAUUUCAUAGAGCUGUGUAAUGAAAGUGUUGGAGGCCUCUCUGGUGCAUACCAGUCAUUGUUAAGUUGCAGUACCCUUCAGAAAUGCUUCUAAUUGAAUGGUUCUUGAAUCUGGUGCAAUAUGGAUGCCUGAAGAGUUGGUGAUUCUGCAUGCCAUAAUACAAUGGUGAGGAUAUUUGUCUUUGCUUUUUGAAUUUCAAUUGAAUGCUAUUGUCUUCUUAUAUGUCAUUUUAACCUUUUUCGGUAAGUUUGCAAAGGACAGUUUGAGUACACGAGACUCCCGUCACUACAUGGUUUAGAGAAUGUUACAAAUAUUGCCCCACAUGCAGAGAGGUUAUUUUUGUAGCUUGAACUCAUGAUCCGCCAAGACCUGCCCUCUUUUCUUGUAAGUUUGAUCACAAACAUGUUAUAUGCAUCAACAUGAAAUUAUACCAUGUGGUCUGGUGUGUAUGUUGACUGACCUCUUGCAGAAAAAUUUUCAAUCAUAAGAAAAUCUUUUUAUGUAAGAAUGUUUGAUUUUGAUGAGUUUAAAAUGUAGGCAUCUUUUGUAUGCCACCUUAGUGAAAUUAGUAAUAAUGAUAGUUAAGAGCAAGAAUUACUUGUCAAAAAUUUUAGGAGUGCAAUAAUUACUAUAUUAAAUAGUAUUAGGAAGUAA